UACGGAAGGCAGCAGUGGGGAAUAUUGCACAAUGGGCGCAAGCCUGAUGCAGCCAUGCCGCGUGUAUGAAGAAGGCCUUCGGGUUGUAAAGUACUUUCAGCGGGGAGGAAGGCGAUGCGGUUAAUAACCGCGUCGAUUGACGUUACCCGCAGAAGAAGCACCGGCUAACUCCGUGCCAGCAGCCGCGGUAAUACGGAGGGUGCAAGCGUUAAUCGGAAUUACUGGGCGUAAAGCGCACGCAGGCGGUCUGUUAAGUCAGAUGUGAAAUCUCCGGGCUUAACCUGGGAACUGCAUUUUGAAACUGGCAGGCUUGAGUCUUGUAGAGGGGGUUAGAAUUCCAGGUGUAGCGGUGAAAUGCGUAGAGAUCUGGAGGAAUACCGGUGGCGAAGGCGGGCCCCUGGGACAAAGCUGACGCUCAGGUGCGAAAGCGUGGGGAGCAAACAGGGAUUAGAUAA
Molecule: ribosomal RNA, 455 nt
Filed under: uncultured bacterium
Lineage: Bacteria
Description: bacterial SSU rRNA
Rfam family: Bacterial small subunit ribosomal RNA
Source: RNAcentral